This is a long non-coding RNA of Oncorhynchus tshawytscha (Chinook salmon), 2384 nucleotides long. RefSeq lists it as uncharacterized. The transcript is spliced from 4 exons. Lineage: Eukaryota; Metazoa; Chordata; Actinopteri; Salmoniformes; Salmonidae. The record is from RefSeq and is a predicted model, not a curated record.
UCCUUACUCUGGUCCCUUUAAUCCUAGCUCCUUACCCUGGUCUCUUUUUAAUCCUAGCUCCUUACCCUGGUCCCUUUAAUCCUAGCUCCUUACCCUGGUCCCUUUAAUCCUAGCUCAUAGCUCCUUACCCUGGUCCCUUUUUAAUCCUAGCUCCUUACUCUGGUCCCUUUUUAAUCCUAGCUCCUUACCCUGGUCUCUUUUUAAUCCUAGCUCCUUACCCUGGUCCCUUUUUAAUCCUAGCUCCUUACCCUGGUCCUUUUUAAUCCUAGCUCCUUCCCUGGUCCCUUUAAUCCUAGCUCAUAGCUCCUUACCCAGGUCCCUUUUAUCCUAGCUCCUUACCCUGUUCCCUUUAAUCCUAGCUCCUUACCCAGGUCCCUUUUAUCCUAGCUCCUUACCCUGUUCCCUUUUAUCCUAGCUCCUUACCCAGGUCCCUUUAAUCCUAGCUCAUAGCUCCUUACCCUGGUCCCUUUAAUUAUGGGCUCCUUACCAUGGUCCCUUGUAUCCUAGCUCCUUACCCAGGUCCCUUUUAUCCUAGCUCCUUACCCUGGUCCCUUUAAUUAUGGGCUCCUUACCCAGGUCCCUUUAAUCCUAGCUCCUUACCCUGGUCCCUUUAAUCCUAGCUCCUUACCCAGGUCCCUUUAAUCCUAGCUCCUUACCCAGGUCCCUUUAAUCCUAGCUCAUAGCUCCUUACCCUGGUCCCUUUUAUCCUAGCUCCUUACCCUGUUCCCUUUUAUCCUAGCUCCUUACCCUGUUCCCUUUUAUCCUAGCUCCUUACCCUGUUCCCUUUAAUCCUAGCUCCUUACCCUGGUCCCUUUUUAAUCCUAGCUCCUUACCCUGGUCCUUUUUAAUCCUAGCUCCUUACCCUGGUCCCUUUAAUCCUAGCUCCUUACCCAGGUCCCUUUUAUCCUAGCUCCUUACCCUGGUCCCUUUUAUCCUAGCUCCUUACCCAGGUCCCUUUAAUCCUAGCUCAUAGCUCCUUACCCAGGUCCCUUUAAUCCUAGCUCAUAGCUCCUUACCCUGGUCCCUUUAAUUAUGGGCUCCUUACCCAGGUCCCUUUUUAUCCUAGCUCCUUACCCUGUUCCCUUUUAUCCUAGCUCCUUACCCUGUUCCCUUUAAUCCUAGCUCCUUACCCUGGUCCCUUUAAUUAUGGGCUCCUUACCAUGGUCCCUUGUAUCCUAGCUCCUUACCCAGGUCCCUUUUAUCCUAGCUCCUUACCCUGGUCCCUUUAAUUAUGGGCUCCUUACCCUGGUCCCUUUAAUCCUAGCUCCUUACCCAGGUCCCUUUAAUCCUAGCUCCUACCCAGGUCCCUUUUAUCCUAGCUCCUUACCCAGGUCCCUUUUAUCCUAGCUCCUUACCCUGGUCCCUUUUAUCCUAGCUCCUUACCCUGGUCCCUUUUAUCCUAGCUCCUUACCCUGGUCCCUUUUAUCCUAGCUCCUUACCCAGGUCCCUUUAAUCCUAGCUCAUAGCUCCUUACCCAGGUCCCUUUAAUCCUAGCUCAUAGCUCCUUACCCUGGACCCUUUUAUCCUAGCUCCUUACCCUGGUCCCUUUUUAUCCUAGCUCCUUACCCUGGUCCCUUUUAUCCUAGCUCCUUACCCAGGUCCCUUUAAUCCUAGCUCAUAGCUCCUUACCCAGGUCCCUUUAAUCCUAGCUCAUAGCUCCUUACCCUGGUCCCUUUAAUUAUGGGCUCCUUACCCAGGUCCCUUUUUAUCCUAGCUCCUUACCCUGUUCCCUUUUAUCCUAGCUCCUUACCCUGUUCCCUUUAAUCCUAGCUCCUUACCCUGGUCCCUUUAAUUAUGGGCUCCUUACCAUGGUCCCUUGUAUCCUAGCUCCUUACCCAGGUCCCUUUUAUCCUAGCUCCUUACCCUGGUCCCUUUUAUCCUAGCUCCUUACCCUGGUCCCUUUAAUCCUAGCUCCUUACCCAGGUCCCUUUAAUCCUAGCUCAUAGCUCCUUACCCAGGUCCCUUUUAAUCCUAGCUCAUAGCUCCUUACCCUGGUCCCUUUUAAUUAUGGGCUCCUUACCCUGGUCCCUUUAAUCCUAGCUCCUUACCCAGGUCCCUUUUAUCCUAGCUCCUUACCCUGUUCCCUUUAAUCCUAGCUCCUUACCCUGGUCCCUUUAAUUAUGGGCUCCUUACCAUGGUCCCUUUUAUCCUAGCGCCAUACCCUGGUCCCUUGUAUCCUAGCUCCUUACCCAGGUCCCUUUUAUCCUAGCUCCUUACCCUGGUCCCUUUUAAUUAUGGGCUCCUUACCCUGGUCCCUUUAAUCCUAGCUCCUUACCCAGGUCCCUUUAAUCCUAGCUCCUUACCCAGGUCCCUUUAAUCCUAGCUCCUUACCCUGGUCCCUUUUAAUCCUAGCUCCUUACCCUGGUCCCUUUAAUCCUAGCUCC